GUCGUGCUGAUUCGAUCGGGAUAGUCAUCAAAUAAUCAAGAAAAACCGAGAUGAUUUCCCGCUUCAAUGGCGGGCCGCAUAAAUUGCAUUCUGCGACUAAGUCCUUAGGGACCGGUGGAUUACAAAGAACGGGGACUCUCACAACUUUUGUAACUCGGACUUUUCAUCACAUCGUCAGUACGACUCUUA
RNAcentral lists this small RNA (189 nucleotides) under uncultured Prevotella sp. RNAcentral's name for it is "Bacteroidales-1 6S-Bacteroidales RNA suggested". It matches the Rfam family "Bacteroidales-1 6S-Bacteroidales RNA suggested". Lineage: Bacteria; Pseudomonadati; Bacteroidota; Bacteroidia; Bacteroidales; Prevotellaceae. The record is from RNAcentral.